Molecule: ribosomal RNA, 446 nt
Filed under: uncultured bacterium
Lineage: Bacteria
Description: bacterial SSU rRNA
Rfam family: Bacterial small subunit ribosomal RNA
Source: RNAcentral
ACUCCUACGGGAGGCAGCAGUGGGGAAUAUUGGGCAAUGGGAGGAAUCCUGACCCAGCGACGCCGCGUGAACGAAGACGGCCUUCGGGUUGUAAAGUUCUUUUAUGUGGGAAGAAUAAAGUGACGGUACCACAUGAAUAAGCCCCGGCUAACUACGUGCCAGCAGCCGCGGUAAUACGUAGGGGGCGAGCGUUGUCCGGAAUUACUGGGCGUAAAGGGCACGCAGGCUGUGCUUCAAGUCAGCUGUAAAAGGAUGCGGCUUAACCGUGUUAUGCGGCUGAGACUGAGGUGCUGGAGUACCGGAGAGGCAAGUGGAAUUCCCAGUGUAGCGGUGAAAUGCGUAGAUAUUGGGAAGAACAUCGGUGGCGAAGGCGACUUGCUGGACGGUAACUGACGCUGAGGUGCGAAAGCCAGGGUAGCGAACGGGAUUAGAUACCCUUGUAGUCC